RNAcentral lists this long non-coding RNA (1091 nucleotides) under Paramuricea clavata. The record is from RNAcentral. Lineage: Eukaryota; Metazoa; Cnidaria; Anthozoa; Malacalcyonacea; Plexauridae.
ACUGUGACCACCUUGAGGAGUGAGCUAUUGUGAUUAAUACGGUAUUUUCAACUGUUUUGUUCUGUUAUCUCGCAAUAGAGGAACAAAUCAAGUCAAAUAUGGUAUUUUAACCAAAAGCACAUGUUCAAGAAUGUUCGGGACCUCUUUUACAUUCAAAUGAAUUCAAUCGUAAAGAAACGUGUCUAUAUUUUUGACGACGUUUCUGAGUGCGACUGAGAUGAAUCAUGAAUACAGUCGUGACAACACCUUUCAAAUGGGAAUUUCUGAUAGAGAUCGGUGAAUUAUACCAUAAAUUAACACAUGAGAAAUUGGUCAUGAACUUUAUUGUUUUGGAAAUGGUGAAUUUUAUAUGGACAAGACUCAUAUUUGUUUCUAUCGACCUAAUCAACGCAAACAAAUUAUGUCGCUUGUGGGAUUUGUUAAAGGAACAAAUGAUUCAGGAUGGUAGAAAGAAUAGCAGGUGCGUUGUAGUGAUCUUAUUUAUGUUAAUGGUGGGUGCUUAAACGCAAUGCCUUGUGAGAAUAUAUACCAUACCAUCCCUGCUUGUGUAUAAAUAUGUUCCUUAUUAAAGUCAUAGUCAUGAUUAAAUCACUCUUCUGAGAAGACCUCAAUGGUGUUUUAUUCCAAAGAAGCAAAUUAAAAUUAAUAAAUUUGAAAGAAAUUGAAAGUUGUAAAAUAAUGGUAUCUCAUUUCUGUGCUUUUUAGAUCCUAUAGAGACAGUAUAAAGUGAAGAUGGAACAAUGCUGCAAACAGUUACUUUCAGUUGCAUGUCUAGAUAUGCAUUAUAUUGCAUUGUGUAAAAACAAUUUAAUUGUAAAGGGUCUCUAGUAUUAUAGGAUCUGUGUGAAAUCUAUCAGCCUAAUCAUAAAAAAAUGUAUUGGUUAUAAAACAUUGUUUGUUGACUGAAUACUGCAACCUGCUGAGAUCAUUUUAGCUUUGUCUUUUCUUCAUGGAGUAAAUCAGGCUUUUAGGUUUCAAGAAAUUGUGACAUUGUUAAUAUAUGUUCUGCCCUCAAUAAUACAGAUCAAUUAAUAAACAGCAUAAUAUGUAUAUUUUAUGAGACUGACUGCUGCCUUGACACACCUACACAC